GAUGAACGCUGGCGGCGCGCCUAACACAUGCAAGUCGAACGAUUAAAGCACCUUCGGGUGUGUAUAAAGUGGCGAACGGCUGAGUAACACGUGGGCAACCUGCCCCUUUCAUUGGGAUAGCCACGGGAAACCGUGGAUAAUACCGAAUACUUCGAGACUUCCGCAUGGAAGACUCGAGAAAGCUCCGGCGGAGAGGGAUGGGCCCGCGGCCUGUUAGCUUGUUGGUGGGGUAACGGCCUACCAAGGCAAUGAUGGGUAGCUGGGUUGAGAGACCGACCAGCCAGAUUGGGACUGAGACACGGCCCAGACUCCUACGGGAGGCAGCAGUGGGGAAUCUUGCACAAUGGGCGAAAGCCUGAUGCAGCGACGCCGCGUGCGGGAUGAAGGCCUUCGGGUUGUAAACCGCUUUCGGCAGGGACGAGGCGAAAGUGACGGUACCUGCAGAAGAAGCCCCGGCUAACUACGUG
Molecule: ribosomal RNA, 467 nt
Filed under: uncultured bacterium
Lineage: Bacteria
Description: partial 16S ribosomal RNA
Rfam family: Bacterial small subunit ribosomal RNA
Source: RNAcentral